RNAcentral lists this transfer RNA (64 nucleotides) under Oedaleus asiaticus. RNAcentral describes it as "tRNA-Asp". RNAcentral also lists the same sequence under 1 other name. The record is from RNAcentral. Lineage: Eukaryota; Metazoa; Arthropoda; Insecta; Orthoptera; Acrididae.
AAGGAGUUAGUUAAAAUAUAACAUUAGAAUGUCAAUCUAAAAUAACUAUUAAUAGUACACCUUG